GGUAUGGGAGGAAGGGGGAAGUGGAGAGGGUCAGCGCCGGCAGUGUUCGUCAUGGUGUGGUGAGGACAGGAGCACGUCCCUCGAUCCUGCUUUCCAGCCGUCAAGUGCGCUACAUCGGAAUCUACAGCAGCAGCAGCAGCAACAUCAGCUGCACCCUUAGUGACUCCAUCACCAUUCAUGUCAUGGUCGCAGCGAGCACCACGAAGGGGAUGACGGCGAUUGACGCAUGGCAACUGUGGCAGUGUUUCACUGCAAACAAAACAGCUCGAAGCAAAGACUUGAUUUCUAGCGUGAGCAGCGAGGGAACGGCAGGCGUCUUGCUGUAAACAAGGUUUCUAAACUCGAUUAAUAGAGGGUGGAAUUCAUAAGGGAUCCGUUGAUCGAGUACAACCAAGAGUACCUUGGCGUGAACAGCGAGGUAAUGGCCGAAAUCUCACUGAAGACACGGGGCUCUGAAGUCGGUGUGUACAGGAUUGGUGGGUAUUUGAAGACAAUCGGGGAAAUAAACCAGAGGAGUGAUGGUGAGGGGAGUUGUUGUUGGUUGUUCGAGCAAUGUGUCCUGCAUCCACCAUCCUACUUACUACACACAUCAUGCUCUGCAAGAAGAAAGAGUAAAAAUAAUACAUAAGAAAGAAGACUGCGUGCGGUAAAUAAGUGAGUGACUGAAAUCAAUCUGGGUCAGAAGCAGGUCAGCAGUCACCUCACAAACGAUACAUCCUCCCGACCAGCAACUACUAAGCUUGUUUGGCAGAGACACCUCACCCGUACACGUCUCUGGUGACUACGACUGAGCAUGAUCACCGACAGCACAAGAAAACAUGUACGAACCUGAGGGGCUGGGCCAUGACCUGUGACUCUUGCUGCCACUAUUACGCGGUAGUAGUGGUAGCAGCAGCAUCAUCAGCUACUUCUAAAAGUGGCUCUUGGGUUUUUUUUUAAGUGAUUAUGUGAAUGAAUACUACUACUAAUUACUACACUUAGUUUUGUUGAUCAACAACGCAUCAUCACCAAAUAAAUACAGCUUACGGUUUUUCUCAAGAUCUGAUAACCAC
This is a long non-coding RNA of Portunus trituberculatus (swimming crab), 1052 nucleotides long. RefSeq lists it as uncharacterized. The transcript is spliced from 5 exons. The record is from RefSeq and is a predicted model, not a curated record. Lineage: Eukaryota; Metazoa; Arthropoda; Malacostraca; Decapoda; Portunidae.